CCUACGGGAGACAGCAGUGGGGAAUAUUGCACAAUGGGGGAAACCCUGAUGCAGCGACGCCGCGUGAGUGAAGAAGUAUUUCGGUAUGUAAAGCUCUAUCAACAGGGACGUUAAUGACGGUACCUGACUAAGAAGCCACGGCUAACUACGUGCCAGAAGCCGCGGUACUACGUCGGGGGCCAGCGUUAUCCGGAUUUACUGGGUUUAAAGGGAGCGUAGGUGGCAGGGCAAGUCAGAUGUGAAAACCCGGGGCUCAACCCCGGGAGUGCAUUUGCAACUGGCCAGCUUGAGUGCAGGAUAGGUAAGCGGAAUUCCUAGUGUAGCGGUGAAAUGCAUAGAUAUUAGGAAGAACACCAGUUGCGAAGGCGGCUUACUGCACUGUAACUGACACUGAGGCUCGAAAGCGUGGGUAGCAAACAGGAUUAGAUACCCGAGUAGUC
RNAcentral lists this ribosomal RNA (440 nucleotides) under uncultured bacterium. Its description in RNAcentral is "partial 16S ribosomal RNA". It matches the Rfam family "Bacterial small subunit ribosomal RNA", at positions 338 to 795 of the family's 1533-position model. The record is from RNAcentral.